This 119-nucleotide ribosomal RNA is filed under the name Pteropus alecto (black flying fox). The record is from RNAcentral. Lineage: Eukaryota; Metazoa; Chordata; Mammalia; Chiroptera; Pteropodidae.
GUUUAUGGCCAUGCCACGCUGAAUGUGCCUGAUCUCGUCUGAUCUCAGAAGCUAAGCAGGGUCAGGCCUGGUUAGUACUUGGAUGGGAGACCACCUAGGAAUACCAGGUGCUAUAGGCG